UCUAGCUUCAUGACCUUUAAUGGUGGGCCGAUUUCGUUGCACCCGCGAUAGCACUUUGAACCUCUCCUGUGUCUAUUUAGACAUUUUAUUAAAUGUUUUUUAUAUUAAUUUUUGUAAAACAGAUUAUAAGAUUUUUUCGCGCCAAAUAAUUCCAUAUGCAUCCAUUUGCCGUAACUCCAUUCUUACUCGAGAUAUCCGUAACUAAAAAUUAUUUUUAUCGGCUGUGUGCUAACUUCAGGGUCAUAGUUUUUAUACAGGAGUAACAACAUCCAAAAAGUAUUAUAAAACCUAAUGCUGAACCAACACUCAUGUUGAAGCUUGAAGAAGAAAAAUCAAGGCGUUCAGAAAAAAUUCGGAAAGCUCUUUUCGAAGAAGAUUCUAAUGAUUCAUCAUCAUCAUUGCCUUUAUCGCUUUUGGAUGAUCCAAUAAAUAUUUUCGAAAAUAUUGCAAACAGUUUGAUUGAAUCACCUGUAAACAAUUGUAUAUCAUCAGCACCAUCAUCAUCAAAUGAAAACAAUAAAAUUACAGAGCCACAAAAAAAUAGAGCUUCGAAGUUCGCCAAUAAAUAAAGAAACAUUGAUAGAUCAUUAAAUUAAAGAGCCAUUUGCAUCAACUGAUAUUCAAAAUUGUUCAACAAUCUGAAACAUAUCAAGCAUACUCGAUGAUUACUAUAAUAUCGAUGUAUAAAUGGAACAGGAGGUCUAUUCAUUGCCAAUGUCAGAAAGUAGUAUUGCAGAUUACAUGGAAUCAAAUCAUGUGAAAUCUUUGGAAGUGAAAAAAUAAAAAUCAUCUGCCGUAGAAAAAAAUGUUUUAGUUCAAAUGGUAUCCAAGUUUACCGUGGGCCUUUAUUUGUUCAAUCAAUUUUUCACCGAGAUGAUGUAAUACAUUACUAUA
Molecule: long non-coding RNA, 894 nt
Organism: Cotesia glomerata
Lineage: Eukaryota; Metazoa; Arthropoda; Insecta; Hymenoptera; Braconidae
Exons: 3
Source: RefSeq, a predicted model, not a curated record